CUCACCCUGCUCUGUGUCUAGAAGAGAGCUGAACACGCAGUAGAACACAAUAAAUUAUAUUCAAAUGGCAGUCAAGGAGGAAACUUUUCUUCCUCAUCAACAAAGCUGAUCGAUGGGGGCUGAAGCCCCAGGGAAGAAGCAUCUGUUGUAACUCAAGGAUCCCGGCUUGAGCUGAGGAUGGAAUUAACAGGCACAGAGUGGUUGGCAGCCCAACGUUUGUGCAAGUCUGGCACAUGCACACAUCAUUAGCAACUAUGCUGGAGAAGAAUGAUCAAGGAGGUGAGGAGGAGAAUGGAUCUGAUUAAAGGGAUGUUCAAGAAAGGAAAUUCCAAGCACUUGGGUAAAAGCUUCAUAGCUAAAAUGAAUGAACUCAUGAGCAAAGCAAACAGCCAGGUACAUUUGGGAGAUGCUGACAGACAAUCUGGAUAAUUUUGCCUCUGAAACUUUCAAAACACAGUCAUUUCAUGCAGUGAA
RNAcentral lists this long non-coding RNA (474 nucleotides) under Pan troglodytes (chimpanzee). RNAcentral describes it as "lincRNA". Lineage: Eukaryota; Metazoa; Chordata; Mammalia; Primates; Hominidae. The record is from RNAcentral.